GACGAACGCUGGCGGCAUGCCUAACACAUGCAAGUCUAGGGGUAGCAAUACCACUGGCGCACGGGUGAGUAACACGUAGGUUAUCUGCCCCCAUCACAGACAUAACCCCGGGAAACCGGGGCUAAUAUCUGAUGAGGUCGCGAGAUCAAAGCUUCGGCGGAUGGGGAUGAGCCUGCGGCUGAUUAGCUAGUUGGUGAGGUAAUGGCUCACCAAGGCGACGAUCAGUAGCUGGUCUGAGAGGACGAACAGCCACACUGGAACUGAGACACGGUCCAGGCUCCUACGGGAGGCAGCAGUGAGGAAUAUUGGUCAAUGGGAGCAAUCCUGAACCAGCAAUGCCGCGUGUGGGAUGACAGGGCUUCGCCUUGUAAACCACUGUCGGACGGGACGAAAGGAGGCCUCGGGCCUCUGGGACGGUACCGUCAAAGGAAGGGUCGGCGUAACUACGUGCCAGCAGCCGCGGUAAU
RNAcentral lists this ribosomal RNA (467 nucleotides) under uncultured bacterium. RNAcentral's name for it is "bacterial SSU rRNA". It matches the Rfam family "Bacterial small subunit ribosomal RNA", at positions 28 to 524 of the family's 1533-position model. The record is from RNAcentral.